This 355-nucleotide long non-coding RNA is filed under the name Gallus gallus (chicken). Lineage: Eukaryota; Metazoa; Chordata; Aves; Galliformes; Phasianidae. The record is from RNAcentral.
GGACCAAACUAGAGACCUGAAAUUUCCUAACCUGAUGAACUUCAGUCUCUCCAGGUUUGUCCAGGUUUUCAAACACAGCUUCUUGCUUGUCUGCUCGAACUUCAAUAAGGUUGCACUUAUAGUUAACAGCAAUAUUCCUCUCCUCUAUUAUUUUAAGCAAUGCGUCAGCGUAUUUUUUAACACCAAAAAUGACACCAAGUGAAGUGUUGAACAUUAUGUUUGCUUUGGGUCGUUUUCCUGUUUUCCUCCAGUAGGCCUCAGAUAAAUACAUGAUUUUCUGAGGAGCCCCUGCACAUUUCACUGGAGUGUUUGGAAAAGUGAAGAUAGCAUUUCCUUCCUUGAAAUCUUGCAAGGC